CCAAUAGCGUAUAUUAAAGUUGUUGCAGUUAAAAAGCUCGUAGUUGAAUUUCGGGAUUCUACCGUUGGUCGGGCUAUCCAGUCUGUACUAGCGUGUAGAAUUUCUACCUUCUGGGGAACUAUCAUGUUAUUAAUUUAGCGUGAUGGGAAUCCAGGACCUUUACCUUGAAAAAAUUAGAGUGUUCAAAGCAGGCUUACGUCUGAAUACAUUAGCAUGGAAUAAUAAAAUAGGACGGUGGUCCUGUUUUGUUGGUUUCUGAAUCACCGUAAUGAUUAAUAGGGAUAGUUGGGGGCAUUAGUAUUCAAUUGUCAGAGGUGAAAUUCUUGGAUUUAUUGAAGACUAACUUCUGCGAAAGCAUUUGCCAAGGAUGUUUUCAUUAAUCAAGAACGAAAGUUAGGGGAUCGAAGACGAUCAGAUACCGUCGUAGUCUUAACCAUAAACUAUGCCGACUAGGGAUCGGACGAUGUUAAAUAUUAUUGACUCGUUCGGCGCCUUACG
RNAcentral lists this ribosomal RNA (498 nucleotides) under uncultured Glomeromycotina. RNAcentral describes it as "partial small subunit ribosomal RNA". It matches the Rfam family "Eukaryotic small subunit ribosomal RNA", at positions 591 to 1092 of the family's 1831-position model. Lineage: Eukaryota; Fungi; Glomeromycota. The record is from RNAcentral.